GUCGAGAAUCUUCCGCAAUGCGCGAAAGCGUGACGGAGCGACACCGCGUGAUGGAUGAAGUCCUUCGGGGCGUAAACAUCUUUUAUAAAGGAGGAAAUUUUUGACGUUACUUUAUGAAUAAGGGGCUCCCAAUCUCGUGCCAGCAGGAGUGGUAAUACGAGAGCCUCAAGCGUUAUCCGGAAUCAUUGGGCGUAAAGGGUGCGUAGGUGGUUUGAUUAGUCUCCCGUUAAAACUUCGAGCUUAACUCGAAAAGAGCGGGGGAAACGGUCAAACUAGAGUAUGUGAGAGGUGUGUGGAACUCAUGGUGUAGGGGUGAAAUCCGUUGAUAUCAUGGGGAACACCAAAAGCGAAGGCAGCACACUGGCACAUCACUGACACUGAGGCACGAAACCUAAGGUAGCGAAUGGGAUUAGAUACCCCAGUAGUCC
RNAcentral lists this ribosomal RNA (428 nucleotides) under uncultured bacterium. RNAcentral describes it as "partial 16S ribosomal RNA". It matches the Rfam family "Bacterial small subunit ribosomal RNA", at positions 354 to 796 of the family's 1533-position model. The record is from RNAcentral.